Non-coding RNA from Syphacia muris, 45 nucleotides. NCBI's taxonomy places the organism in Eukaryota, Metazoa, Nematoda, Chromadorea, Rhabditida, Oxyuridae. The record is from Rfam.
UUACAGGCUUUACUAAAAGCCAAAAAAAUUGAAAUUGAGAAACUA